GAAAUGCGAUAAGUAAUGUGAAUGGCAGAAUUCAGUGAAUCAUCGAAUAUUUGAACGCACCUUGCGCUCCUUGGUAUUCCUUGGAGCAUGCCUGUUUGAGUAUCAUGAAAUCUUCAAAGUAAAUCUUUUGUUAACUCAAUUGGUUUCUACUUUGGUAUUGGAGGUCUUUGCAGCUUCACACCUGCUCCUCUUUGUUCAUUAGCUGGAUCUCAGUGUUAUGCUUGGUUCCACUCGGCGUGAUAAGUUAUCUAUCGCUGAGGACACUGUAAAAGGUGGCCAAGGUAAAUGCAGAUGAACCGCUUCUAAUAGUCCAUUGACUUGGACAAUACUUUUAUGAUCUGAUCUCAAAUCAGGUAGGACUACCCGCUGAACUUAAGC
This 378-nucleotide unclassified non-coding RNA is filed under the name plant metagenome. RNAcentral describes it as "partial contains 5.8S ribosomal RNA, internal transcribed spacer 2, and large subunit ribosomal RNA". The stretch from base 1 to 105 matches the Rfam family "5.8S ribosomal RNA", at positions 50 to 154 of the family's 154-position model. The record is from RNAcentral.